UUGCCUCGUUCGUCGUAUAUUCGUCGUAUAUUGCGUCGUACAUUCCGGACUUCCUUCUAAAUGUAUGAGCAAAAUGCGAGGAAUGUACGAUGCGAAUUG
MicroRNA precursor from Caenorhabditis elegans, 99 nucleotides. The record is from Ensembl. NCBI's taxonomy places the organism in Eukaryota, Metazoa, Nematoda, Chromadorea, Rhabditida, Rhabditidae.